RNAcentral lists this ribosomal RNA (397 nucleotides) under Vibrio parahaemolyticus. RNAcentral's name for it is "bacterial SSU rRNA". It matches the Rfam family "Bacterial small subunit ribosomal RNA", at positions 599 to 995 of the family's 1533-position model. The record is from RNAcentral. Lineage: Bacteria; Pseudomonadati; Pseudomonadota; Gammaproteobacteria; Vibrionales; Vibrionaceae.
AGCCCGGGGCUCAACCUCGGAAUUGCAUUUGAAACUGGCAGACUAGAGUACUGUAGAGGGGGGUAGAAUUUCAGGUGUAGCGGUGAAAUGCGUAGAGAUCUGAAGGAAUACCGGUGGCGAAGGCGGCCCCCUGGACAGAUACUGACACUCAGAUGCGAAAGCGUGGGGAGCAAACAGGAUUAGAUACCCUGGUAGUCCACGCCGUAAACGAUGUCUACUUGGAGGUUGUGGCCUUGAGCCGUGGCUUUCGGAGCUAACGCGUUAAGUAGACCGCCUGGGGAGUACGGUCGCAAGAUUAAAACUCAAAUGAAUUGACGGGGGCCCGCACAAGCGGUGGAGCAUGUGGUUUAAUUCGAUGCAACGCGAAGAACCUUACCUACUCUUGACAUCCAGAGAA